CUUUUUAAAAAGCAUUGAAAGACCAUCUUCCUCUCUCUCUACUCCUUUCUAUAUUUUCCAAAUAUAAACUCUUUAUCUUUCUCUCUCUCUUCACAUUUUCUGUCUGGAAAACAUCAUCAAAAACAAGACUUGCCUCUUCUUGCUACACAACCAAUUCAAGAAUCCAUUUUUUCCAACUUUUUUAGAGGACCCAAAACUUCUGUUUAACUCAUUUUUCUUUGUAUGAUAUAUAAUUUGGAGUUAUGACAAGGGUAACCCUUGAUUUUGGAGAUACAAUGCAAAGGGAUGCUGUUCCUCCUGUAUCAGCAGAUGUGAUCUUCCCAUCUAGUCGCUUUCCAAAUUACAAAAUUGGACCUAACAAUCAGAUUAUGGAGGUCAAGCAGGAUUCUAAGGCACUUACAAUGAAAGAGGUGGUUGCUAGAGAAACUGCACACUUACUAGAGCAGCAAAAAAGGCUGUCUGUUCGCGAUCUAGCCAGUAAAUUUGAAAAGGGUCUGGCUGCUGCUGCCAAGUUGUCUGAUGAGG
Solanum tuberosum (potato) is the source of this 525-nucleotide long non-coding RNA. RefSeq lists it as uncharacterized. The transcript has 2 exons. The record is from RefSeq and is a predicted model, not a curated record. Lineage: Eukaryota; Viridiplantae; Streptophyta; Magnoliopsida; Solanales; Solanaceae.